GAUGAAGAACGUAGCGAAAUGCGAUAAGUAAUGUGAAUUGCAGAAUUCAGUGAAUCAUCGAAUCUUUGAACGCACAUUGCGCCCGCCAGUAUUCUGGCGGGCAUGCCUGUUCGAGCGUCAUUACAACCCUCAGGCCCCCGGGCCUGGCGUUGGGGAUCGGCGGAAGCCCCCUGCGGGCACAACGCCGUCCCCCAAAUACAGUGGCGGUCCCGCCGCAGCUUCCAUUGCGUAGUAGCUAACACCUCGCAACUGGAGAGCGGCGCGGCCACGCCGUAAAACACCCAUCUUCUGAAUGUUGACCUCGAAUCAGGUAGGAAUACCCGCUGAACUUAAGCAUAUCAAUAAGCGGAGGA
RNAcentral lists this unclassified non-coding RNA (353 nucleotides) under soil metagenome. Its description in RNAcentral is "partial contains 5.8S ribosomal RNA, internal transcribed spacer 2, and large subunit ribosomal RNA". The stretch from base 1 to 120 matches the Rfam family "5.8S ribosomal RNA", at positions 35 to 154 of the family's 154-position model. The record is from RNAcentral.